RNAcentral lists this unclassified non-coding RNA (308 nucleotides) under uncultured fungus. RNAcentral describes it as "partial contains small subunit ribosomal RNA, internal transcribed spacer 1, and 5.8S ribosomal RNA". The stretch from base 1 to 73 matches the Rfam family "Eukaryotic small subunit ribosomal RNA", at positions 1759 to 1831 of the family's 1831-position model. Lineage: Eukaryota; Fungi. The record is from RNAcentral.
UCAAACUUGGUCAUUUAGAGGAAGUAAAAGUCGUAACAAGGUUUCCGUAGGUGAACCUGCGGAAGGAUCAUUAACAAUCGCCUCUCGGGGGGCCGGUUUUGCAGAUUUUUAACAAAAAGUCUCCACUACCCGCCCUGUCUGACUACACCCAUGAUUUUUUGCGCACCUCUUGUUUCCUCGGCAGGCAAGCCUGCCAGCAGGACCAUUUUUAAAACCUAUUGCAGUUGCAGUCAGCGUCAGAUAAAAAUUUAAUGGUUACAACUUUCAACAACGGAUCUCUUGGUUCUGGCAUCGAUGAAGAACGCAGC